This 333-nucleotide unclassified non-coding RNA is filed under the name fungal sp. RNAcentral describes it as "partial internal transcribed spacer region". The stretch from base 1 to 46 matches the Rfam family "Eukaryotic small subunit ribosomal RNA", at positions 1786 to 1831 of the family's 1831-position model. Lineage: Eukaryota; Fungi. The record is from RNAcentral.
AAGUCGUAACAAGGUUUCCGUAGGUGAACCUGCGGAAGGAUCAUUAACACGUAUCCAACGUUAAACCCCCCUGUGAACCUUCAUUGUGCUCCCACGCUUUGUUAGAAAGUGGCAAUCCCUGGUAAAUCAUCGCCGAACAGUUUUGAUUCAGGGACUUCUGCGAAGAGGGUGAAUGAGGCGAGGCUCUGAAAGUGUCACUAACUCUGUACGAAUGGCGCAGUCACGUUCGCUGGAGGCCGACACGGCCGGCGACCGGGUCCCUGAGCUCUGCCUGCGCUUAAUUGUGCGGCCACCAAACUCGAACAACUGUUAACCAUGGAUAUCUUGGUUCUC